RNAcentral lists this long non-coding RNA (190 nucleotides) under Callithrix jacchus (white-tufted-ear marmoset). RNAcentral's name for it is "lncRNA (ENSCJAG00000083483.1)". The record is from RNAcentral. Lineage: Eukaryota; Metazoa; Chordata; Mammalia; Primates; Cebidae.
AGAGUAUGAGGAAAAACUAAAAUAAUUCAUGAAAUUUUUAUAUUGUUGUUCUUUCUGCAGACCAAGGAAGAGCUGUGGUCGAGAUGAUGGUGGUCCUCAAAUAGUUCAUCUGCUCCUCCACUUAUGUCAUCAUUAUACAGAGCUGACUUCUGCCAUAAUUGUAACUUUCCCGAGGCCUCCCCAGACCUGC